GAUGAAACUAUAUCAACAUAGUAAAAGUCAAAAAAAAUUCUCACAGCUUGUCAGGAAAGCGUGUAAAUUACAAGAGGUGAUUUCCAUGGAAGAGUAAUACAAUGAAAUAACUAGCAGCUCUUGAGCUAGGACGGGUAUACAUGUGUCACCAAGUUACCAAUCAAAUUCAGCAGCUCCUUACGCUGGGCCUUGUCAGUGGUAAUUCCAAUGUCCCCUGUCAAAUUUUUUUUAUUUUUUUUAUCACGAUUAGAUGUCAAAUGGAUAAAUUAAGCAGAAAGCGGAUGAUUUAGGCAGCAGAAACAUUAAGAAUACGCUACCAGUUGAAAAAUGACAUUCUUUUACAAAUAGAAUCUACAUUACAGGUCAAGGUCUGUAUAUAAGAUAUUCUGAAGGCUCAUUAAGGUUCAUUUUUUACAAGCCAUGACUAAUGAAGGCUCAAAUUUCAUGAUGCAGCACAAUCUAUUUGAAGGUGUGAAUGAGCUCCGAAACUUGAUGAACCAAGUCAUGAAUCGAGCAUCAACUGGCUGUGAUACCAAGUUGUUGAAUGCCCUUGAAUAGAAUCUCACAUAGGUCGAUUAACCGGAAAAUCCUACUCUCCCAGACUGAUUUUCUUUAUUAAUGUUUCUACUUUUUUUAAGGAAUCUAUUAUGAAAUAAAUUGAGAACUUGUUUGAGAGAAUUCUUGAAUCUCAUUAACUGAUUAACAAGCAC
This 710-nucleotide long non-coding RNA is filed under the name Manihot esculenta (cassava). RNAcentral's name for it is "long non-coding RNA (MESC_LNC007736)". Lineage: Eukaryota; Viridiplantae; Streptophyta; Magnoliopsida; Malpighiales; Euphorbiaceae. The record is from RNAcentral.